Molecule: long non-coding RNA, 256 nt
Organism: Bos taurus (domestic cattle)
Lineage: Eukaryota; Metazoa; Chordata; Mammalia; Artiodactyla; Bovidae
Source: Ensembl
GCUUCAGUCGUGUCCCAGUCUGUGCUAUCCCGUGGACAACAGCCCACCAGGCUCCUCUGUCCACAGGAUUCCCCAGGCAAGAAUACUGAAGUGGGUUGCCAUUUCUUCUCCAAGGAUAAAUAUACUGAUGAGCAAACUGAUGUCAAGGUCAUACAACUACUGAAUGGCGGAAUCCAGAUUUCAUUCCCGGCAAACAGAGUCCAGAGCCCUAAAACUUCAACCAUUAUAUACACUGUGAAGAUAUUUCAUUAAAUAC